RNAcentral lists this ribosomal RNA (422 nucleotides) under uncultured bacterium. RNAcentral's name for it is "bacterial SSU rRNA". It matches the Rfam family "Bacterial small subunit ribosomal RNA", at positions 355 to 774 of the family's 1533-position model. The record is from RNAcentral.
UGAGGAAUAUUGGUCAAUGGGGGCAACCCUGAACCAGCCAAGUCGCGUGAAGGAUGAAGGUCUUAUGGAUUGUAAACUUCUUUUAUACAGGAAUAAAUUGGGGGACGUGUCCCCUUUUGCAUGUACUGUAUGAAUAAGGAUCGGCUAACUCCGUGCCAGCAGCCGCGGUAAUACGGAGGAUCCGAGCGUUAUCCGGAUUUAUUGGGUUUAAAGGGUGCGCAGGCGGGAUGUUAAGUCGGCGGUGAAAUUUUGCAGCUCAACUGUAGAAGUGCCUUCGAUACUGGCUUCCUUGAGUGUAGAUGAAGUAGGCGGAAUUUGUGGUGUAGCGGUGAAAUGCUUAGAUAUCACGAGGAACUCCGAUUGCGCAGGCAGCUUACUAAACUACAACUGACGCUGAUGCACGAAGGCGUGGGGAUCAAACA